This 871-nucleotide long non-coding RNA is filed under the name Medicago truncatula (barrel medic). Its description in RNAcentral is "lncRNA gene40777". The record is from RNAcentral. Lineage: Eukaryota; Viridiplantae; Streptophyta; Magnoliopsida; Fabales; Fabaceae.
GAAUAGUUAACUAGAUCGACAUGUGAAAUAUCAUACUUUAAACUAUUGAGCUCAAUUAAAAGCGCAACGACAUCGAUAUUUUUUGUGCGUUUAUUUUUUUGUUUAAGACUUUUUUUAGUUAUAUAGUUUGUUGGCUUUGCCAAACAGAACCAUGGUAUAUAGUACUCAAAUAAAACAAAGAAUUUGGCACAUUUGACUUUGAUUGGUUCGUCAAUCUUAAUUGUAUUAACAGUGAAUAGGGCACCAUUUUAUUCUUUGGAACACAUAAAUAACGGACUAAGGUUUGGUAACAAACUUAGAUUCGAGUCCCUACCACUCACCGAUAUUAAAAGAUUCUGCCCGCCAUUAGUGGUGCUUCAUUAAUUUCAAUUAUUACUCAGAAAAUAUGUCAAAUUAUGUGUCUUCUGUCACUUUUUUGUGUUAUUAUUUUGGAUAUGUUUGGCAAGACGAGUUUAUAGUAUGUGGCUUAUAACUUAUCAAGAUCAUAUGCUUUUAUUUUUAAGAAACUUAUAAGCUCAUGUGAUUAGGCAUGGCAAUGGGGUGGAGUGGGGGUGGGGACGGGUUUUACAUUCUUCGUCCCUGUAUCUGAUUCUCAUAUAAUUACUUGUUCCCUUAUACAUAUUCAACGGGGAUGAGAAAUUGAACCUCGUUGAUAAAAAAUAUAUGGUUUUUUACAACCCUUAGAGAAAUGUUGUAAUGCAUUAUCCAGCAAUAUGUUCACUUUAACAUUUGUUAGAUCGAUUGAUUUAGUUGCUCCUUUAAAUUUCAAUGGUAAUUUUUAUAGCACGACAACUAUCAAACAAAAUAACAUGGCAUAUCAACAUAAAGUAACUUUCUGCAUUUGAGACGGGUUUUGGUGUGAGUUCGGAUG